Molecule: ribosomal RNA, 1198 nt
Filed under: uncultured Chloroflexota bacterium
Lineage: Bacteria; Bacillati; Chloroflexota
Description: bacterial SSU rRNA
Rfam family: Bacterial small subunit ribosomal RNA
Source: RNAcentral
GAUAAACGCUGGCGGCGUGCCUAAUGCAUGCAAGUCGAACGAGUGGCAAACGGGUGAGUAACACGUGGGCAAUCUGCCCUCAAGUGGGGAAUAACGCUGCGAAAGCAGUGCUAAUACCGCAUCUUGAGGAGGAGCCCGCGGCUGAUUAGCUAGUUGGUGGGGUAACGGCCUACCAAGGCGAUGAUCAGUAGCCGGCCUGAAGGGCUGACGGCCACACUGGGACUGAGACACGGCCCAGACUCCUGCGGGAGGCAGCAGCAAGGAAUUUUCCGCAAUGGCCUUAGGGCUGACGGAGCAACGCCGCGUGGAUGACGAAGCCUUUCGGGGUGUAAAAUCCUUUUAUGUGUGAAGCGGUAGCACAUGAAUAAGCAUCGGCUAACUACGCGCCAGCAGCCGCGGUAAUACGUAGGAUGCAAGCGUUGUCCGGAAUUAUUGGGCGUAAAGGGCGCGCAGGCGGUCUGUCAAGUCAGUUGUGAAAUCUCCCGGCUUAACUGGGAGGGGCCAAUUGAUACUAGCAGACUUGAGGACAGAAGAGGAAAGUGGAAUUCCCGGUGUAGUGGUGAAAUGCGUAGAUAUCGGGAGGAACACCAAUGGCGAAAGCAGCUUUCUGGUCUGUAUCUGACGCUCAGGCGCGAAGGCUAGGGGAGCAAACAGGAUUAGAUACCCUGGUAGUCCUAGCAGUAAACAUGUACACUAGGUGUUGGUCAGUACCCAAGCAAACGCGUUAAGUGUACCGCCUGGGGAGUACGGUCGCAAGACUAAAACUCAAAGGAAUUGACGGGGGCCCGCACAAGCAGCGGAGCGUGUGGUUUAAUUCGACGCAACGCGCAGAACCUUACCAGGACUUGACAUGCAGAUGCUGCAUGGCUGUCGUCAGCUCGUGUCGUGAGAUGUUGGGUUAAGUCCCGCAACGAGCGCAACCCCCGUGGUUAGUUGUAUCUAGCCAGACUGCCGAGAGAAACUCGGAGGAAGGUGGGGAUGACGUCAAGUCAGCAUGGCUCUUACGUUCUGGGCUACACACACGCUACAAUGGCCGGUACAGAGGGAAGCGAACCGCGAGGUGGAGCAAAUCCCACAAAGCCGGUCUCAGUUCAGAUUGUAGGCUGCAACUCGCCUGCAUGAAGUCGGAGUUGCUAGUAACCGCAAGUCAGCACAUUGCGGUGAAUAUGUUCCCGGGCCCUGUAUCCACCGCCCGUCA